AGUGUACCCUUCCCCUCCUGCCUUUUUAGUAGCUCUGGGUAAAUAUUGAUCUGUUUACCUCCUCCCUGAAUGGCCAUUUGCACACUAAGGAAUUAGCCUCUGUAGGGACUUGAUUUUUGUGUUACUUUCCGGCCCCGUUAGCCCCCCUUCCUUCCUCCAAGUGGCAUUGUAAAACUCACGGUGACAAAGAGACAGGAUAGGGUUCGAGGCCCCAGUUCCUGAAGACUUGAGGGCUGUUUUACAUACGGGUCAGACACGGCUAGAGGCCAAGGUCAAGUUGAAAGUUGCCGUCUAGCCAGUGUGAGAACUGCCAUGCAAGCCUGGAGAUUCAGGCAGCUGCCGCAAGGCCCACUGCUCACCUCCCUUCU
RNAcentral lists this long non-coding RNA (368 nucleotides) under Ursus americanus (American black bear). RNAcentral's name for it is "HOXA transcript at the distal tip, conserved region 2 (ENSUAMG00000001220.1)". It matches the Rfam family "HOXA transcript at the distal tip, conserved region 2". The record is from RNAcentral. Lineage: Eukaryota; Metazoa; Chordata; Mammalia; Carnivora; Ursidae.